This 492-nucleotide ribosomal RNA is filed under the name uncultured bacterium. RNAcentral describes it as "partial 16S ribosomal RNA". It matches the Rfam family "Bacterial small subunit ribosomal RNA", at positions 29 to 507 of the family's 1533-position model. The record is from RNAcentral.
AGUGAACGCUGGCGGUAGGCCUAACACAUGCAAGUCGAACGGCAGCAGAGUAAGAGCUUGCUCUUACGGGUGGCGAGUGGCGGACGGGUGAGGAAUACAUCGGAAUCUACUUUUUCGUGGGGGAUAACGUAGGGAAACUUACGCUAAUACCGCAUACGACCUACGGGUGAAAGCAGGGGAUCUUCGGACCUUGCGCGAUUGAAUGAGCCGAUGUCGGAUUAGCUAGUUGGCGGGGUAAAGGCCCACCAAGGCGACGAUCCGUAGCUGGUCUGAGAGGAUGAUCAGCCACACUGGAACUGAGACAUGGUCCAGACUCCUACGGGAGGCAGCAGUGGGGAAUAUUGGACAAUGGGCGCAAGCCUGAUCCAGCCAUACCGCGUGGGUGAAGAAGGCCUUCGGGUUGUAAAGCCCUUUUGUUGGGAAAGAAAAGCAGCAGGUUAAUACCCCGCUGUUCUGACGGUACCCAAAGAAUAAGCACCGGCUAACUUCGUG